Molecule: ribosomal RNA, 115 nt
Filed under: Staphylococcus pseudintermedius
Lineage: Bacteria; Bacillati; Bacillota; Bacilli; Caryophanales; Staphylococcaceae
Source: RNAcentral
UCUGGUGCCAAUGGCAAAGAGGUCACACCUGUUCCCAUGCCGAACACAGAAGUUAAGCUCUUUAGCGCCGAUGGUAGUCGGACUUGCGUUCCGCGAGAGUAGGACGGUGCCAGGU